GGGUUGUGAGGUUAAGCGACUAAGCGUACACGGUGGAUGCCCUGGCAGUCAGAGGCGAUGAAGGACGUGCUAAUCUGCGAAAAGCGCCGGCGAGGUGAUAUGAACCUUUGACCCGGCGAUGUCCGAAUGGGGAAACCCAGUGCAAUCCGUUGCACUAUCGUUAACUGAAUACAUAGGUUAACGAGGCGAACCGGGGGAACUGAAACAUCUAAGUACCCCGAGGAAAAGAAAUCAACCGAGAUUCCCCCAGUAGCGGCGAGCGAACGGGGAGCAGCCCGGAGUCUGAAUCAGCUUGUGUGUUAGUGGAACGGUCUGGAAAGUCCGACGGUACAGGGUGAUAGUCCCGUACACGAAAGCACACUUGCUGUGAACUCGAAGAGUAGGGCGGGACACGUGGUAUCCUGUCUGAAUAUGGGGGGACCAUCCUCCAAGGCUAAAUACUCCUGACUGACCGAUAGUGAACCAGUACCGUGAGGGAAAGGCGAAAAGAACCCCGGCGAGGGGAGUGAAAAAGAACCUGAAACCGUGUACGUACAAGCAGUGGGAGCCUCUUUAUGGGGUGACUGCGUACCUUUUGUAUAAUGGGUCAGCGACUUAUAUUCUGUAGCAAGGUUAACCGUAUAGGGGAGCCGAAGGGAAACCGAGUCUUAACUGGGCGUUAAGUUGCAGGGUAUAGACCCGAAACCCGGUGAUCUAGCCAUGGGCAGGUUGAAGGUUGGGUAACACUAACUGGAGGACCGAACCGACUAAUGUUGAAAAAUUAGCGGAUGACCUGUGGCUGGGGGUGAAAGGCCAAUCAAACCGGGAGAUAGCUGGUUCUCCCCGAAAGCUAUUUAGGUAGCGCCUCGUGAACUCAUCUUCGGGGGUAGAGCACUGUUUCGGCUAGGGGGCCAUCCCGGCUUACCAACCCGAUGCAAACUACGAAUACCGAAGAAUGUUAUCACGGGAGACACACGGCGGGUGCUAACGUCCGUCGUGAAGAGGGAAACAACCCAGACCGCCAGCUAAGGUCCCAAAGUCAUGGUUAAGUGGGAAACGAUGUGGGAAGGCACAGACAGCCAGGAUGUUGGCUUAGAAGCAGCCAUCAUUUAAAGAAAGCGUAAUAGCUCACUGGUCGAGUCGGCCUGCGCGGAAGAUGUAACGGGGCUAAACCAUGCACCGAAGCUGCGGCAGCGACACUAUGUGUUGUUGGGUAGGGGAGCGUUCUGUAAGCCGUUGAAGGUGUGCUGUGAGGCAUGCUGGAGGUAUCAGAAGUGCGAAUGCUGACAUAAGUAACGAUAAAGCGGGUGAAAAGCCCGCUCGCCGGAAGACCAAGGGUUCCUGUCCAACGUUAAUCGGGGCAGGGUGAGUCGACCCCUAAGGCGAGGCCGAAAGGCGUAGUCGAUGGGAAACAGGUUAAUAUUCCUGUACUUGGUGUUACUGCGAAGGGGGGACGGAGAAGGCUAUGUCAGCCGGGCGACGGUUGUCCCGGUUUAAGCAUGUAGGCGGAGGUUCCAGGUAAAUCCGGUACCUUUUAACGCUGAGGUGUGAUGACGAGGCACUACGGUGCUGAAGUGAUAAAUGCCCUGCUUCCAGGAAAAGCCUCUAAGCAUCAGGUAACACGAAAUCGUACCCCAAACCGACACAGGUGGUCAGGUAGAGAAUACCAAGGCGCUUGAGAGAACUCGGGUGAAGGAACUAGGCAAAAUGGUGCCGUAACUUCGGGAGAAGGCACGCUGAUGUGUAGGUGAAGCCCCUGCGGGUGGAGCUGAAAUCAGUCGAAGAUACCAGCUGGCUGCAACUGUUUAUUAAAAACACAGCACUGUGCAAACACGAAAGUGGACGUAUACGGUGUGACGCCUGCCCGGUGCCGGAAGGUUAAUUGAUGGGGUUAGCGGCAACGCGAAGCUCUUGAUCGAAGCCCCGGUAAACGGCGGCCGUAACUAUAACGGUCCUAAGGUAGCGAAAUUCCUUGUCGGGUAAGUUCCGACCUGCACGAAUGGCGUAAUGAUGGCCAGGCUGUCUCCACCCGAGACUCAGUGAAAUUGAACUCGCUGUGAAGAUGCAGUGUACCCGCGGCAAGACGGAAAGACCCCGUGAACCUUUACUAUAGCUUGACACUGAACACUGGUCCUUGAUGUGUAGGAUAGGUGGGAGGCUUUGAAGCGUGGACGCCAGUCUGCGUGGAGCCAACCUUGAAAUACCACCCUUUAAUGGCUGGUGUUCUAACGUAGACCCGUAAUCCGGGUUGCGGACAGUGUCUGGUGGGUAGUUUGACUGGGGCGGUCUCCUCCCAAAGAGUAACGGAGGAGCACGAAGGUUGGCUAAUCCUGGUCGGACAUCAGGAGGUUAGUGCAAUGGCAUAAGCCAGCUUGACUGCGAGCGUGACGGCGCGAGCAGGUGCGAAAGCAGGUCAUAGUGAUCCGGUGGUUCUGAAUGGAAGGGCCAUCGCUCAACGGAUAAAAGGUACUCCGGGGAUAACAGGCUGAUACCGCCCAAGAGUUCAUAUCGACGGCGGUGUUUGGCACCUCGAUGUCGGCUCAUCACAUCCUGGGGCUGAAGUAGGUCCCAAGGGUAUGGCUGUUCGCCAUUUAAAGUGGUACGCGAGCUGGGUUUAGAACGUCGUGAGACAGUUCGGUCCCUAUCUGCCGUGGGCGCUGGAGAAUUGAGGGGGGCUGCUCCUAGUACGAGAGGACCGGAGUGGACGCAUCACUGGUGUUCGGGUUGUCAUGCCAAUGGCACUGCCCGGUAGCUAAAUGCGGAAGAGAUAAGUGCUGAAAGCAUCUAAGCACGAAACUUGCCCCGAGAUGAGUUCUCCCUGAGAC
This 2804-nucleotide ribosomal RNA is filed under the name Enterobacter hormaechei. Its description in RNAcentral is "partial 23S ribosomal RNA". It matches the Rfam family "Bacterial large subunit ribosomal RNA". RNAcentral also lists the same sequence under 1 other name. Lineage: Bacteria; Pseudomonadati; Pseudomonadota; Gammaproteobacteria; Enterobacterales; Enterobacteriaceae. The record is from RNAcentral.